UUGCCACAGAAAAUAAUCUUGAUUAUAAUUAACGAGUGCGCACUGCCGUGACUGAGUUUAGUUUCUGAGACAUAUGAAACAAUAACCUUUUCUGACGGGUGAAGUUAGCAGUGCAUGAUUCCACGAGCGUCUUCGGGUACCUGGUCGAUGUGGUGAUCAAGCUCCUGACGAAAAAAAUUAUAGGGAGAAAAAACCAACCCGUUAGCAGUUAGAAGCCAGUCUGAACGACACGAGCGAGGCGUGUUCACAUGAAAGGAAAACCUGAAGUAGCCUGUUAAUGUAAAACAGUCUUUAAAAGGUUUCUGGCGGGGUUCUUGAAUCUUUCAGAUCGCCAAGAAGAUCCCUGAUGCUUUGAAGUGAUUAACUAACGAUGGAUGAGGCUCAUUCAAAACGAAUGAUACACCAGGGUGGAAUUUGAGGAGCACCGAAAGAGGAUGAUGGCGGCUUGAGUAAUUUAUCAUCGAGAGCUAUCUGUCACGAAGAUAAAGCCUAGGAGAGUUUCCUCUCUAUGUAGAGCUUCAAACUUGGCAUCGAUGUAUAGACAAGCCAUUUACAAGGAGCGCCAUCUUUAUUUUUUCAACCAAUUUUUCAAAGCAUACUCUUAGAUACGUCAAUGAUAAUGAAUCAGAUUGAUAGAAGAAAAUUCAAGAGUGAAAUAUGUGAAGUAUUUGAUAUUUUAUAAUAGAAUAUAUCAGAGCUUGUGAACGUUGGCGUAUUGGGUAUUAUGUUAUAAUUAUUAUUUAAUUUAAUAUUAAAUUUGCGUAAUUAAUUAAGGAUGGUAGGAGCUAUGAUAAAAACUAAAUUAUCAGUAUCAGUAGCUAUGAUACUUAUAAACAGAGUAUAUUCAACAUAAGCUAUGCAUCCGAGUUAUGGAUCUGAUGUAUACGAGGCUGAGCUAUAAAUCUGAGCUGUGAAUCAGAGUUAUGAAAUAUCCUCUAUAUUUUACCUCCACUCGAAUAAUAUCGUUGCAAAAGUUAUUUUCUAUUAAAAACAAAAAAUAAUCCAAGUUAUGAAAUUACGGAUUUAUCCAAGCACGAGGAAAUGGAAUACGUAGAAGAAAUAAGAUACGUGAUAUCAGUGAAUAUAAUUUAUCCUCUUUGAAAUGUGAAACAUUUUUUUAAAAUCGUAGCAUCGCGUCACAGAGCACGAGAAUUUAAAAAAAAUUAAUUUUUGGCUCGCGUGUACCUAGAAACAUGUUACAAAUAUUUUAACAAUCAACAGAAUGCUGGAGUAAAAAAAAAUUAGAAAAAACCGUAAAAUGUAUUAAACUGAAAUAUUCCAUCAACUUUCUAGUGUAAAGAAGUCCCAAAGGUUUUUUCACACUGUUCACGCUGUACCUUUCAAAAAAUUCAAUUAAAUUUUCUUGUAUUCAACUAGACUGACGUUAGAAACGUAUUACUAGCAGUAACUAGAAUAACAGUGAAAGAAAAACAUAAAAAAAAGAUAUCCAAUUUAAAAUAUCUAACCCUUGAAAGGAUCCCACGUAUUCUCAGGUGUACCAACAGCUGAAUACCACUGCAAUUUACACCGCACAAGAGCUUUUAUGAACCUUUUCCAUGCGAAGCUAGUAAAAGUGAAAAAGGAAUGAAGCUAGAAGACCUUUUCCUUGUGAUCCUUGUAUUAGACACUUAUGCAUAUCAGAACAGCACUCCAGCCAUUUUGUUUUUCUAACAACUUUCCAUCUCGCUACGUCGAGUGUUCAAAUAUCAAGUGGAAAUAUUUUUUGCCACUCCUUUAACCUUUUGCUUCACGUCAUCAAUCCUAAAUUAGGUUACCCGUUCCUUCAGCUGUAUCCAACUUCAUACAUUUAUUUUUCAUUAGCCAUACUUAUAUUUCAACGAAUGAAAUAACCAGCAUUCCUUAUUAAUUUUACUCCUGGAUAUAUAUCAAGGAUAUCAUUUAUUAUACUGACAAAUAAUUAACUUGUCCAUCCAACCAUUUAAUUAACAUAAAAUAAUUAAUUUUGCAGAUACCAAAGUGCAAGUUUUUAUGAUGAACUUGCAGUCGAUGUCGAAAUGGCAUAAUAAUUUAACAAUACCCAUUGUUAAGGAACACAUAAAGGAUGGACUAGCAUAUUUCAAAAUAAUCUGAAAUAUGAAAUAUUUAACAGCUGUAUCCUGUAUAAACACAAAGAACAUGCACCUACAAUCGCAAAAAGGAUCAUUGUGCCAAAUGACUGUAACAAAUGGCAGCCAUUAAAGAUUCGAGCAAGAGGAAGCGUCAAGGGAAAGAAGAAAAAAAAGUGUAGAUCCUUCGCAGAAAGGUGUCCGGAUACUCCCUUUUCAUAGGGAAAUCGAUCUUCCAAAUAAGGGUUGGCCAUUGUGACUUUCUGAGUACUAUAAGUAAACCGCAAGCAAACAGAAGCGAAACACCAGCGGAUCUGUGCGGUUGCGUUGUCUCAAGUCGAUAUUUACGUAUAGAACAAGCGAUAGGGACUUUUAGUGGUCGCGUUAAGCUACCGCCCUGACGUAAGAAAUGCGGCGCCCUAUUAAAGCAGCAUAAAUCAUUUAGUAA
Molecule: long non-coding RNA, 2514 nt
Organism: Cephus cinctus (wheat stem sawfly)
Lineage: Eukaryota; Metazoa; Arthropoda; Insecta; Hymenoptera; Cephidae
Exons: 5
Source: RefSeq, a predicted model, not a curated record